UCCCAGGUGAUCUGAACAAAAGGGGGAAC
Molecule: non-coding RNA, 29 nt
Filed under: Macaca fascicularis (crab-eating macaque)
Lineage: Eukaryota; Metazoa; Chordata; Mammalia; Primates; Cercopithecidae
Also listed under: 1 other name
Source: RNAcentral